UGAAGGCCAGGCUGAAGACUUUGCCGGAUUAGCUGAGAGGUGGUGCAUGGCCGUCGUCAGUUCGUACUGUGAAGCAUCCUGUUAAGUCAGGCAACGAGCGAGACCCACGCCCACAGUUGCCAGCGUACUCUCCGGAGUGACGGGUACACUGUGGGGACCGCCGCUGCUAAAGCGGAGGAAGGAAUGGGCAACGGUAGGUCAGUAUGCCCCGAAUAUCCCGGGCUACACGCGAGCUACAAUGGUUGGUACAAUGGGUAUCUACCCCGAAAGGGGACGGGAAUCUCCUAAAACCAAUCUUAGUUCGGAUUGAGGGCUGCAACUCGCCCUCAUGAAGCUGGAAUCCGUAGUAAUCGCGUUUCAACAGAACGCGGUGAAUACGUCCCUGCUCCUU
Molecule: ribosomal RNA, 391 nt
Filed under: uncultured Methanosaeta sp.
Lineage: Archaea; Methanobacteriati; Methanobacteriota; Methanomicrobia; Methanotrichales; Methanotrichaceae
Description: bacterial SSU rRNA
Rfam family: Archaeal small subunit ribosomal RNA
Source: RNAcentral